Molecule: ribosomal RNA, 256 nt
Filed under: uncultured bacterium
Lineage: Bacteria
Description: partial 16S ribosomal RNA
Rfam family: Bacterial small subunit ribosomal RNA
Source: RNAcentral
UACGGGGGGGGGUAAGCGUUGUUCGGAAUUACUGGGCGUAAAGGGCUCGUAGGCGGCCAACUAAGUCAUACGUGAAAUCCCUCAGCUUAACUGGGGAACUGCGUGUGAUACUGGAUGGCUUGGAUUUGGGAGAGGGAUGCGGAAUUCCAGGUGUAGCGGUGAAAUGCGUAGAUAUCAGGAGGAACACCGGUGGCGAAGGCGGGGUCUCUGGGCCGAUACUGACGCUGAGGAGCGAAAGCGUGGGGAGCGAACAGGA